AUCGCUUCUCGGCCUUUUGGCUAAGAUCAUAUGUGUAGUUUCUGUUCUUAUCAGCCUAAUAUCUGAUACGGGUUCCAUCGGAACCUGCGAUAUUAACGCUAUUUUUGUAACGCGACAGUGUGUACGAGGCUAGCCUCGCCACUGUCACGGGUUGUCUUGGCAUAGCACUGCAGCCAAGUACAGUCCACUAGAA
Ornithodoros turicata is the source of this 193-nucleotide small nuclear RNA. RefSeq annotates it as U2 spliceosomal RNA. The transcript has a single exon. NCBI's taxonomy places the organism in Eukaryota, Metazoa, Arthropoda, Arachnida, Ixodida, Argasidae. The record is from RefSeq and is a predicted model, not a curated record.